This 849-nucleotide long non-coding RNA is filed under the name Homo sapiens (human). RNAcentral's name for it is "HSALNT0102068". The record is from RNAcentral. Lineage: Eukaryota; Metazoa; Chordata; Mammalia; Primates; Hominidae.
GGUCUGGUUAGAGAAUGAAAAAUAUCUACAUCUCAGAACAACUCUAUUUAAUCUAAAAAGCUCCCUACAAUUGCCAGCCUAUUUGCAGUCUCUUAAUAUGCCCACUACCCUUUCAGCCAGUACAUGAGAAAAUAUUUUUGGUCCCACAGGAUAUAGAAGAUAAGAUUUUUUUAAUUUUUUUUUGGAAUCUGUCACUGAAUUAUAUUUCAGAUGCAGACACUGUGGUAUUUCCGUGUUUGUGAUAUUUACUGUGCAGUUUGUCGUUAACAACUUGCAUGGAGUAGGGCGCCAUAGAAUUUGCCUUAGUGUUUCAGUUCAAAUAGAGAUCCUAAUUCAAAUGUCAUAACUCAAAUUCAAACACAGUAUGCUUGUUGUAGAAUUUAUCAGGUUUGCUGAUGAUUCCUUUUUUAUUAAAAUUUUUGCGGGGAUAAUAUAUUGUAACAGUCUUUGCAGCUACAGAGAACAGGACAGGCCAUCAGGGUAUAUUUCCCAAGUAUCUGACCGAAAACCUAAGCAAGAGAAGUGAGACAAACCAUCUAAUCUGUAUCCUCCCACUAACAGGCUGCGUCAUUUUGGAUUUCCGAGGUCCGUGUCCUUCUAAAUAAAAUGAGGAGAUGAGACAAGAGCAGCGGUUCUCAAAGUGUAGUUGGAGAGGGGGCGGUCCUCAGACUUUCAAUGAUAGCCAAGGUCAAAGCUCUUUUUAUAAUACUAAUACAUCAUUUGUCUUUUUCACUCUAUUUCUUUCAUGAGUAUGGACAGGAGUUUUCCAGAGGCUACCUCACGUGUGAUAUUUUAACAGACUAAAUGCACAGCAGCUUUGGGAAUCCAGCUUUCAUCUAUUAAGUCAGA